GAUGAACGCUGGCGGCGUGCUUAACACAUGCAAGUCGAACGGGAUCCAUCAAGCUUGCUUGGUGGUGAGAGUGGCGAACGGGUGAGUAAUGCGUGACCGACCUGCCCCAUACACCGGAAUAGCUCCUGGAAACGGGUGGUAAUGCCGGAUGCUCCAGUUGAUCGCAUGGUCUUCUGGGAAAGCUUUCGCGGUAUGGGAUGGGGUCGCGUCCUAUCAGCUUGACGGCGGGGUAACGGCCCACCGUGGCUUCGACGGGUAGCCGGCCUGAGAGGGCGACCGGCCACAUUGGGACUGAGAUACGGCCCAGACUCCUACGGGAGGCAGCAGUGGGGAAUAUUGCACAAUGGGCGCAAGCCUGAUGCAGCGACGCCGCGUGAGGGAUGGAGGCCUUCGGGUUGUAAACCUCUUUUAUCGGGGAGCAAGCGAGAGUGAGU
Molecule: ribosomal RNA, 434 nt
Filed under: uncultured bacterium
Lineage: Bacteria
Description: bacterial SSU rRNA
Rfam family: Bacterial small subunit ribosomal RNA
Source: RNAcentral